Molecule: long non-coding RNA, 299 nt
Organism: Zalophus californianus (California sea lion)
Lineage: Eukaryota; Metazoa; Chordata; Mammalia; Carnivora; Otariidae
Exons: 4
Source: RefSeq, a predicted model, not a curated record
CUGAUUUCCAGGGAUCGUUCAAAGGCGUCUCCAAUAACUGCAUCAGUAACUACAGUUAAUUCUUCAUUGUCUCAUUCCCAGUGAUACGAUUCUUCUGAAGAAAACUGAUCUGUGACAGCUUCCAGGGACUCAACAGUAGCUGCCGAGUCUUCACCUACCAUCCAGUGUGUAAACUUAGAAAAUCUACCUGAUUAAGUGGAUUUGGAAAUUAUGAGUGUAUCUUCAUCAGCAAAACUUCUGGUGGGCUGAUUUUCUUAGACCAGCCUGCACAGUUCCAUGAGGAAUCAGCAAGGACAACA